Molecule: long non-coding RNA, 2477 nt
Filed under: Panax ginseng (ginseng)
Lineage: Eukaryota; Viridiplantae; Streptophyta; Magnoliopsida; Apiales; Araliaceae
Description: long non-coding RNA (PGIN_LNC018607)
Source: RNAcentral
UAAAUUCCCAGUGGGUUGCAUUCUAUAUGUACUGAGCUGAAAUCCAGUUAAUUAUCCCAGUUCAGCACAGGAGUGACUUUCCAGGAGGAAGAGAAUGCGGCAGAUUCAGAGAGCGACGAUACGAGGCAUAAUAAGCACCGCUGCGGAGUGUCCUCGCCUCAUCAGAUUCGCUCUACAACCUCCUAAAAGUGUAAGCUUUUUAUUUUCAAUUCUUCUGAAAUUUAUUUAGUUUAUGGUUUGAGUUUUGCUCAUUAUUAGUGUCUUUCUUUUCUUUUAUAUGCUUCCUUUUUCACUGGGUUUUGUACUUCUUUGUAUAGUCGAGUUUAGUAAAAUACCCACGUGAAUUCUUGAGUUUCUGGACACAGAAAAAGAUUCCAAGGAAAGAAUCGUGUCCACUAAUUGGAGUCUCUAAUUGCUUACUUAGGGUGCCCCUUUUCCAUAGAUGUUAUUUGAGAUUAAUUUAUUGGGAUACAAUUUAAAGGUAGUGUUUUGUUGGAUUCGGUAUAUUUUGUUGUUGGAUGCAUCAGUAAAAGAACUAAACUAGUCUGUGUCGAUGCUUUAGAUUCACUUUUGCUAAUAAGUUUGUAGCAUAAUUUGACGGCUUCCUCGUACUCAAUAAGAAAAUGUAAAAUGAAAGGGGAAACACAAUGACAACUGCCAAAAUUGGGACUGCUUAUUCAUUUCCAUUGAAAGAGGGAAUGCCUGACCACAAUGUAAACAGACCAACCUUUAGUGUCAUUGUAUUGUUUCUUUUUUUUUUUCUUGUCAUGGGAAUUUUUGUGUGUAUAUAUUUUAGAGUUGGAUUCCCUCGUCUGGAAUCUGUGUCGGUCAGUCUUUCAUACUGUGUGAAAAAUGAGAAGAAUCAGCAUAUGUUGGUUCUAUAAAGCUAGAAUGAUGGUGGCAAUUUUGAUUUCAAGAUGUUUAGUCAACUGUAGAGUGUAGAAUGUAAUAUUCACUUACUUAUAUCUACAUAAAUGAUCUGUUUUAAUUACAAUGUUGGGAUUCAUCUGUCUUACUAUAAAUUUCUGUGUUAGGUAGAGGUGGAAUACGCCAAUGGUACUGUGUACAAUUUGUCAGCUGAAUUCUUAAGAAUACAUAGCCCAGCUGCUGAUAGUAAGAUCAGAUCAGUAGGAGGAGAAAAGGUAAUUGGUUUUUUUUUUCCCACCAUUCUAUCUUUCCCCCCACUUCAAACAGAUGCAAAGGAGUGGUAGUUUGUCUUUUUUUUUAAAUAAUCUUUUCUAUGCUAUGUGCUACACAUAUUAUUCAGGGUCUGCUUUUUGGGUCAUGUUCAUAUGUGAUCGCCAUGGAAUUAUUAAUGUCAAAUAAGAUUAAUGCAGAACUUAUGAAUUGUUAUUCUCACUAAGAGUUUUUGUAUUGAAAACACUUGUUAAGAUCAUCCAGUAAUAUUUUGUAUCUAGAAUUUGGAAAUCGUUGAUGAUUUCAGAUCCACGUGUUGUUAUAACUAGUCAAUAGUCCUGCUUUAUAACACAAGAUGUGCAAAUGCUGACAUAACUUUUUCUUUUCCCUUCAUAUAUACUAGACUGUUUUAGUUGAUCUUGAAAAUUCACCAAUAUAUUGUUUCUCUUUUCUUUUCUUUUCUUACUACACUGUUUUAGUUGAUCUAGAAAUUCACCAGUAUAUUGUUUCUUUUUGCUUUUCUUACUGUAGAUAUACAUUUAAAAUGCUUAUAAUGCAAGUAGGCAUAAUUCACUUGAUAAGUGCAUGUGAACCUUGACAAUCAGUUUACCGUUCAUCAAAAAAGUGCUGAUUGAGUUCCUGGAUUACCCUGAUUCAGGUGAUAUUUGGACGGCGUCAUGUGGGAAUCAUGUCUGGAGAACCCGUCUACGGGGUAAGGUAGUCUAAGCUUAAAAGUUACUUUGUGCAUUUAAAAGUUUUUUUUUUUUAAAUUGAAAAUUUAAAUAACUCUUUCUAUUAUUUAUUCAGUUCUGGUUACCUUGGUGGGUGUUGUAGGUUACGUUUUGAUGACUUGCAUAAAACUGGGAUUUACACAUGGGAUUAUCUGUAUCAUAUUGGGAGCAACAAGUUCACCCUCAUGAGAAAUUAUAUCAAAACUUUAAAGAAGCAUGGGCUGAGCCGAGAUCCAGGUAGAAGAAAAUAAUGGUGAAUUUUCAACAUGAAGAUCUCAUUCACUAAGGAAAGUUAUAAUGAUGUCUAAACAAAAAACUUGGUGUUGGAGCCAGAAGGAAAAGUGUUGUUAAAUUAAGAUACAGGAAUACUUUUUUGUUACUGUCUAUUUGAUAAAGUUCAGCUCGAUCUUGAGGUUGUAAAAUUUCAUGUACACAUGUACUCUUUCCGAGUUCAAAUAUAGGUCAUGUGCAAGUUUUCCUGCCAGCCAUUCUAGUAUUUCCAAGAAACAUUUUAAUUUGAGUAAUUGGAAUGUUAUUCCGCAAUGUUACUUGUCCACCAACAAAUGUUCCUCUCUUUUCAAGUAAUUGGAAACUUUAGCUACAAACUCG